RNAcentral lists this small RNA (118 nucleotides) under Marmota monax (woodchuck). Lineage: Eukaryota; Metazoa; Chordata; Mammalia; Rodentia; Sciuridae. The record is from RNAcentral.
GCCAGGCAUGACCAUGUAUGUGCCUGUAGUCCUGGCUACUUGGGAGGCUGAGGCAGGAGGAUCACUUGAGCCCAGGAGAUCAGGGCCACCUGAGCAACAGAGAGAAACUUAUUCUUUU